This 229-nucleotide ribosomal RNA is filed under the name uncultured bacterium. RNAcentral's name for it is "partial 16S ribosomal RNA". It matches the Rfam family "Bacterial small subunit ribosomal RNA", at positions 112 to 334 of the family's 1533-position model. The record is from RNAcentral.
CGAACGUGGGUAACCUGCCCAUCAGAGGGGGAUAACAUUCGGAAACGGAUGCUAAAACCGCAUAGGUCUUCGAACCGCAUGGUUUGAAGAGGAAAAGAGGCGCAAGCUUCUGCUGAUGGAUGGACCCGCGGUGCAUUAGCUAGUUGGUGAGGUAACGGCUCACCAAGGCCGUGAUGCAUAGCCGACCUGAGAGGGUGAUCGACCACAUUGGGACUGAGACACGGCCCAA